AGAGUUUGAUCCUGGCUCAGAAUCAACGCUGGCGGCGUGCCUAACACAUGCAAGUCGCACGAGAAAGGGGAGCAAUCCCUGAGUACAGUGGCGCACGGGUGAGUAACACGUGACUAACCUACCCUCGAGUGGGGAAUAACCUGGGGAAACCCGGGCUAAUACCGCAUAACACUUACGAGUCAAAGCAGCAAUGCGCUUGGGGAGGGGGUCGCGGCCGAUUAGCUAGUUGGCGGGGUAAUGGCCCACCAAGGCUUUGAUCGGUAUCCGGCCUGAGAGGGCGCACGGACACACUGGAACUGAAACACGGUCCAGACUCCUACGGGAGGCAGCAGUGGGGAAUUUUGCGCAAUGGGGGAAACCCUGACGCAGCAACGCCGCGUGGAGGAUGAAGUCUCUUGGGACGUAAACUCCUUUCGAUCGGGACGAUAAUGACGGUACCGGAAGAAGAAGCUCCGGCCAACUACGUGCCAGCAGCCGCGGUAAUACGUAGGGAGCAAGCGUUGUCCGGAUUUAUUGGGCGUUAAAGAGCUCGUAGGCGGGCUUGGCAAGUUCGGAUGUGAAACCCCCAGGGCUUUAACCCUGGGGGCCGCC
Molecule: ribosomal RNA, 591 nt
Filed under: uncultured bacterium
Lineage: Bacteria
Description: bacterial SSU rRNA
Rfam family: Bacterial small subunit ribosomal RNA
Source: RNAcentral